CAUAUUUCUAUGAAAUCUUUUGAUGGCUGUCUGCUGUCUGCUUAACUGGGCAUUGAUGUUGGAACUUCGAAUAUUGGCGCAUUUGAGCGAAGACGCAGGUCUUUGUUCUGUUCUUAGCCAACCCGAUGGCGAUGUUUUCCGCGGCAUUGUAUCGGUUUGGAAAAAGAAAAAGCAAGAAGAAGUCAGAGACGAUGAAAGGCAAAAAGCGAAACAAAUCUGCUACGGGAUUGUUUACGGCAUGGGAUGUAAAUGUUUAGCCGAACAGUUGGAAGUCGGGGAAGAAGAGGCUCAACUCUUUGUUAACACUUUCCACGCAAGGUAUACAAAGCUUUAUAACAAACACAGGUCAACCGAUGUGGAAAAAAAUUCAGGAGGAAAAUGAAUUGAGCUGCUGACAUUGGCCUAUUCUGGAAUACAUCAGUUUGCAUCAUAAUCAGAAAGACUCCCCACCCUCUCAUUCAUAUCGUGACCAAGGGUACGAAUCACGUGAAAGCCCAAAGUUCUUGUAACCUGUUGCCUUAUAUGUUUGUGUCACAUUGGUUUCAUAGUCUAAACGAUAACAAUAACAAAACUCGCUACAUUCGA
Molecule: unclassified non-coding RNA, 585 nt
Filed under: Daphnia magna
Lineage: Eukaryota; Metazoa; Arthropoda; Branchiopoda; Diplostraca; Daphniidae
Description: dNA polymerase theta-like, transcript variant X1
Source: RNAcentral